Molecule: ribosomal RNA, 450 nt
Filed under: uncultured bacterium
Lineage: Bacteria
Description: partial 16S ribosomal RNA
Rfam family: Bacterial small subunit ribosomal RNA
Source: RNAcentral
GUGGGGAAUAUUGGACAAUGGGCGAAAGCCUGAUCCAGCCAUGCCGCGUGCAGGAUGAAGGCCUUCGGGUUGUAAACUGCUUUUGUACGGAACGAAAAGACUCCUUCUAAUAAAGGGGGUCCAUGACGGUACCGUAAGAAUAAGCACCGGCUAACUACGUGCCAGCAGCCGCGGUAAUACGUAGGGUGCAAGCGUUAAUCGGAAUUACUGGGCGUAAAGCGUGCGCAGGCGGUUAUAUAAGACAGAUGUGAAAUCCCCGGGCUCAACCUGGGAACUGCAUUUGUGACUGUAUAGCUAGAGUACGGUAGAGGGGGAUGGAAUUCCGCGUGUAGCAGUGAAAUGCGUAGAUAUGCGGAGGAACACCGAUGGCGAAGGCAAUCCCCUGGGCCUGCACUGACGCUCAUGCACGAAAGCGUGGGGAGCAAACAGGAUUAGAAACCCUGGUAGUCC